AGAUUGAACGCUGGCGGCAUGCCUAACACAUGCAAGUCGAACGGGAGUAGCAAUACUCUAGUGGCGGACGGGUGAGGAAUACGUAGGAAUUUGCCCUUAAGUGGGGGAUAACCCGGGGAACCCGGAUUAAUACCGCAUGACCUCGAAAGAGCAAAGUGGGGGAUCGCAAGACCUCACGCUUUUGGAGAAGCCUACGUCGGAUUAGCUAGUUGGUGAGGUAAAGGCUCACCAAGCCUUCGAUCUGUAGCUGGUCUGAGAGGACGACCAGCCACACUGGGACUGAGACACGGCCCAGACUCCUACGGGAGGCAGCAGUGGGAAUUUGGACAUGGGCGAAAGCCUGAUCCAGCCAUGCCGCGUGCAGGAUGGAAGGCCUUCGGUUGUAACUGCUUUGUACGGAACGAAAGUCUACUUACUAAUAAGAGGAUCGAUGACGUACGUAAGAAUAGACACCGACUAACUACGUGCCAGCAGCCGAC
This 479-nucleotide ribosomal RNA is filed under the name uncultured soil bacterium. RNAcentral describes it as "bacterial SSU rRNA". It matches the Rfam family "Bacterial small subunit ribosomal RNA", at positions 26 to 518 of the family's 1533-position model. The record is from RNAcentral.